AUUGAACGCUGGCGGCAGGCCUAACACAUGCAAGUCGAGCGGAUGAAGGGAGCUUGCUCCUGGAUUCAGCGGCGGACGGGUGAGUAAUGCCUAGGAAUCUGCCUGGUAGUGGGGGAUAACGUCCGGAAACGGGCGCUAAUACCGCAUACGUCCUGAGGGUGAAAGUGGGGGAUCUUCGGACCUCACGCUAUCAGAUGAGCCUAGGUCGGAUUAGCUAGUUGGUGGGGUAAAGGCCUACCAAGGCGACGAUCCGUAACUGGUCUGAGAGGAUGAUCAGUCACACUGGAACUGAGACACGGUCCAGACUCCUACGGGAGGCAGCAGUGGGGAAUAUUGGACAAUGGGCGAAAGCCUGAUCCAGCCAGGCCGCGUGUGUGAAGAAGGUCUUCGGAUUGUAAAGCACUUUAAGUUGGGAGGAAGGGCAGUAAGUUAAUACCUUGCUGUAUUGACGUUACCAACAGAAUAAGCACCGGCUAACUACGUG
RNAcentral lists this ribosomal RNA (484 nucleotides) under uncultured bacterium. Its description in RNAcentral is "partial 16S ribosomal RNA". It matches the Rfam family "Bacterial small subunit ribosomal RNA", at positions 30 to 507 of the family's 1533-position model. The record is from RNAcentral.